GGACGGUUCCGGUUCCGAGCUCCUGAGUAGCCAAGCUGUGACAGAGCUGCUGUACCAGGCCCACUUGGACCCCACUGUGGCUCUGGUGAAGGACCCGCUACCAGACACACAAGGUGAGUUUGGCGUCACCGUCCUGAAGCCCGGCAUCGAAAGCGUGCGGUCCAAGUGGGUGCACGUGAAGCUGGACCGUAACGCCUUGCCUCAGAGCUUCCGGAACCGCAGUGGGCAAAGGUCCUCCUGUUUUGAGAAGGCUCACAUUCCUUUAUUUGGGACCACUACGGGACA
Hippocampus comes (tiger tail seahorse) is the source of this 285-nucleotide long non-coding RNA. RefSeq lists it as uncharacterized. The transcript has 3 exons. NCBI's taxonomy places the organism in Eukaryota, Metazoa, Chordata, Actinopteri, Syngnathiformes, Syngnathidae. The record is from RefSeq and is a predicted model, not a curated record.